ACUACUCCCCUAUAGCUGUAGAGUGCUCGUCGCGCGGAUGAUGCGGAGCUUGCUCCCUGAAGUUAGCGGCGGACGGGUGAGUAACACGUGGGUAACCUGCCUGUAAGACUGGGAUAACUCCGGGAAACCGGGGCUAAUACCGGAUGGUUGUCUGAACCGCAUGGUUCAGACAUAAAAGGUGGCUUCGGCUACCACUUACAGAUGGACCCGCGGCGCAUUAGCUAGUUGGUGAGGUAACGGCUCACCAAGGCGACGAUGCGUACCCGACCUGAGAGGGUGAUCGGCCACACUGGGACUGAGACCCGGCCCAGACUCCUACGGGAGGCAGCAGUAGGGAAUCUUCCGCAAUGGACGAAAGUCUGACGGAGCAACGCCGCGUGAGUGAUGAAGGUUUUCGGAUCAUAUAGCUCUGUUGUUAGGGUAGAACAAGCGCCGUUCG
RNAcentral lists this ribosomal RNA (439 nucleotides) under Bacillus velezensis. RNAcentral describes it as "bacterial SSU rRNA". It matches the Rfam family "Bacterial small subunit ribosomal RNA", at positions 39 to 462 of the family's 1533-position model. The record is from RNAcentral. Lineage: Bacteria; Bacillati; Bacillota; Bacilli; Caryophanales; Bacillaceae.